Molecule: ribosomal RNA, 740 nt
Filed under: uncultured archaeon
Lineage: Archaea
Description: bacterial SSU rRNA
Rfam family: Archaeal small subunit ribosomal RNA
Source: RNAcentral
UUCCGGUUGAUCCUGCCGGACCCGACUGCUAUCAGAGUGGGACUAAGCCAUGCGAGUUAACGUAGCAAUACGUGGCAUACGGCUCAGUAACACGUAGUCAACAUGCCCAGAGGACGUGGACAACCUCGGGAAACUGAGGAUAAACCGCGAUAGGUCAGGAUUUCUGGAAUGAUUCUUGGCUGAAAUCUACAUGGCCUCUGGAUUGGACUGCGGCCGAUCAGGCUGUUGGUGAGGUAAUGGCCCACCAAACCUGUUACCGGUACGGGCUCUGAGAGGAGGAGCCCGGAGAUGGGCACUGAGACAAGGGCCCAGGCCCUAUGGGGCGCAGCAGGCGCGAAACCUCUGCAAUAGACGAAAGCCUGACAGGGUUACUCUGAGUGACUUUCGCUAAGAAAGUCUUUAGGCACCUCUAAAAAGGGUGCAGAAUAAGGGGUGGGCAAGUCAGGUGUCAGCCGCCGCGGUAAUACCAGCACCCCGAGUGGUCGGGACGAUUAUUGGGCCUAAAGCAUCCGUGGCCGGUUCUGCAAGUCCCCCGUUAAAUCCAGCCGCUCAACGGAUGGGCCGCGGAGGAUACUACAGGACUAGGAGGCGGGAGAGGCAAGCGGUACUCAGUGGGUAGGGGUAAAAUCCUUUGAUCCAUUGAAGACCACCAGUGGCGAAGGCGGCUUGCCAGAACGCGCUCGACGGUGAGGGAUGAAAGCUGGGGGAGCAAACCGGAUUAGAUACCCGGGUAGUCCCAG